RNAcentral lists this ribosomal RNA (492 nucleotides) under uncultured bacterium. RNAcentral's name for it is "partial 16S ribosomal RNA". It matches the Rfam family "Bacterial small subunit ribosomal RNA", at positions 29 to 507 of the family's 1533-position model. The record is from RNAcentral.
AGUGAACGCUGGCGGUAGGCCUAACACAUGCAAGUCGAACGGCAGCACAGUAAGAGCUUGCUCUUACGGGUGGCGAGUGGCGGACGGGUGAGGAAUACAUCGGAAUCUACUUUUUCGUGGGGGAUAACGUAGGGAAACUUACUCUCAUACCGCAUACGACCUACGGGUGAAAGCAGUGGAUCUUCGGGCCUUGCGCGAUUGAAUUAGCCGAUGUCGGAGUAGCUAGUUGGCGGGGUAAAUGCCCACCAAGGCGACGAUCCGUAGCUGGUCUGAGAGGAUGAUAGGCGACACGGGAACGGAGACACGGUCCAGACGCCUAAGGGAGGCAGCAGUGGGGAAUAUUAGACAAUAGGCGCAAGCCUGAUCCAGCCAUACCGCGUGGGUGAAGAAGGCCUUCGGGUUGUAAAGCCCGUUUGUUGGGAAAGAAAAGCAGCAGGUUAAUACCCCGCUGUUCUGACGGUACCCAAAGAAUAAGCACCGGCUAACUUCGUG